CCUUUAUAAACCUCCAUUAGCAGAGCUUAGGCCGGCAGCAGUCAGAAAUGUCUGCUGGAGAAGACACUGCAAAGUGUCAGUGAGGGCGUUUGAGAAUUAAUUUUACCCUAGAGUAGCUGCGCAGGUCUGUUUAGCACUCACCUCUACAGUUUUGAACAUUCGAUAACACCAGAAUCAGUCUGAUGCCUUGAACACUUUACAUGAAGGGUUUUUCAAAAUCUAGCCACAAACAGAUAUGACCAGAUUUCAAAAAAUUUUGAGAAACUAGGAGGAAUCUAUUUUGACAAAGCCAAGCCACACAUAGGAUAGAGGCAGACAUGCGUGCCCUGGAAAGAAGAAAGUAGAAGGAUCAACUAAAAGAGCUCUCCCACUAAAUGGCUGUGGGCUCCUCUAAGAAACUGAAACAUGGAAGAAGGAAGGACCAGCCAGCCAGAACAGCAGUGGGUAUCAAGGAAUGAUAUAAAAGCAAGCUCAAGACAGUCAAGAUUCAAGGAGCUAUAUACCUUGCUUCCUUUCCAGAGCUGAAAUUUGAGUCAAGAGUCCAUUUCUUCCAUCUGGCCAGAUGAUCUCCAGGAUACUCUCAUGAGUGGAAGCAGCCUGUGGCCCUCGCCAGAUGCAGAUGCCCAAUCUUGAACUUUUCCAGACAUCAUGAGCCAAAUAAACCAUUUUUCUUUAUAAAUUACCCAGCCUCAGGUAUUUCUUUAUAGCAACACAACAUGGAUUAAGACUGGGAGUUAGGAAAAAACAAUCAAGGAUGACUCUGAGUUUUAG
RNAcentral lists this long non-coding RNA (771 nucleotides) under Homo sapiens (human). RNAcentral's name for it is "HSALNT0354046". The record is from RNAcentral. Lineage: Eukaryota; Metazoa; Chordata; Mammalia; Primates; Hominidae.